This 253-nucleotide ribosomal RNA is filed under the name uncultured bacterium. Its description in RNAcentral is "partial 16S ribosomal RNA". It matches the Rfam family "Bacterial small subunit ribosomal RNA", at positions 524 to 776 of the family's 1533-position model. The record is from RNAcentral.
GACGGCGGGUGCAAGCGUUGUUCGGAAUCACUGGGCGUAAAGCGCGUGUAGGCGGUUUGAUAAGUCGAAUGUGAAAGCCCGAGGCUCAACCUCGGAAGUGCAUUCGAAACUGUCAGGCUUGAGUACGGGAGAGGGAAGUGGAAUUCCUGGUGUAGAGGUGAAAUUCGUAGAUAUCAGGAGGAUCACGGGUGGCGAAGGCGGCUUCCUGGUCCGAUACUGACGCUGAGACGCGAAAGCGUGGGGAGCAAACAGG